This 593-nucleotide ribosomal RNA is filed under the name Hanseniaspora uvarum. RNAcentral's name for it is "partial large subunit ribosomal RNA". It matches the Rfam family "Eukaryotic large subunit ribosomal RNA", at positions 47 to 654 of the family's 3401-position model. The record is from RNAcentral. Lineage: Eukaryota; Fungi; Ascomycota; Saccharomycetes; Saccharomycodales; Saccharomycodaceae.
UUAGCGGAGGAAAAGAAACCAACUGGGAUUACCUUAGUAACGGCGAGUGAAGCGGUAAAAGCUCAAAUUUGAAAUCUGGUACUUUCAGUGCCCGAGUUGUAAUUUGUAGAAUUUGUCUUUGAUUAGGUCCUUGUCUAUGUUCCUUGGAACAGGACGUCAUAGAGGGUGAGAAUCCCGUUUGGCGAGGAUACCUUUUCUCUGUAAGACUUUUUCGAAGAGUCGAGUUGUUUGGGAAUGCAGCUCAAAGUGGGUGGUAAAUUCCAUCUAAAGCUAAAUAUUGGCGAGAGACCGAUAGCGAACAAGUACAGUGAUGGAAAGAUGAAAAGAACUUUGAAAAGAGAGUGAAAAAGUACGUGAAAUUGUUGAAAGGGAAGGGCAUUUGAUCAGACAUGGUGUUUUUUGCAUGCACUCGCCUCUCGUGGGCUUGGGCCUCUCAAAAAUUUCACUGGGCCAACAUCAAUUCUGGCAGCAGGAUAAAUCAUUAAGAAUGUAGCUACUUCGGUAGUGUUAUAGCUUUUUGGAAUACUGUUAGCCGGGAUUGAGGACUGCGCUUCGGCAAGGAUGUUGGCAUAAUGGUUAAAUGCCGCCCGCUA